RNAcentral lists this long non-coding RNA (4283 nucleotides) under Ailuropoda melanoleuca (giant panda). Its description in RNAcentral is "lncRNA (ENSAMEG00000026457.1)". The record is from RNAcentral. Lineage: Eukaryota; Metazoa; Chordata; Mammalia; Carnivora; Ursidae.
CUGGAUAUUACCUUCUACCAGGACAGCUACAAUUUAUUCCAAGCUACCCAAGCUUUCUUGGAAUUCAAGUUAAAACAAAGCAAAACAAGUCAAAAUCCAUGACAGCUGCAGAGAUGAGAACUGAUUAAUCGAUUAACAUCCCCGAAACACAUUACGAGGAGGGGACGAUAAAUUAAGACAGAGGACAUCAUCUUCAACCCGAUUCCCUGAGCGUCCUUUACAGAAAUCAUCAUCCUAAUCAUAACCACAAUCCAUCCCGCCCAGAGAAAAAUAUCUAUAUUAUUAUUAUUACUGGUUAACAGCAACAAGUCAUUUGAUCACAUCACAGUGCAAAACGAGAUGCUAUAUAAUUACACUUAACUUUGAAAACACUCCCCCCUUUGCAAAUCAGAUACACAUAUUUAUAUAUCAUCUAUGAAUCAGAAGACAAAUAAAACAAGAGCUGUUCUUCACCACGCAAAAGCCAAGCGGAGAUUUACCUCAGCAGUGCAUGCAGUAAAAUAAUCCCAUCACCCUUUUGUUUGUGUUUACUGUUAGUGUAUCCUCUCUCUUUCUUUCUUUCCUGUGCCUAACGUGUGUUUGUGCACUGCAGUUGGUGGUGGAAACUAAGGCAGUGGAUCUGUAGCUAAGGGUAAUCCUGUUUUUACUUCCUCCAUCUUCAGCGAGGAGCAGGGUUAGCCCGGGACAGCUGGUCAAACCCCGAGAAACCGAUCCGCCGGAGCCCGAGCACAUNNNNNNNNNNNNNNNNNNNNNNNNNNNNNNNNNNNNNNNNNNNNNNNNNNNNNNNNNNNNNNNNNNNNNNNNNNNNNNNNNNNNNNNNNNNNNNNNNNNNGGGGGGGUGUGUGCUGUGUGUGUGUGUUUGUGUGUGUGUGUGCGCGCGUGUGCGCGCGGGUUGGCGAGGGCGCGUGUGCGCGUGUCUGAGCUCUGGGCCGCUCGGCGCGCUCGGCAAUCGAUUACAGGACAAGUGCUGCCCGGCGGCUCCGCGACGCGCGCACUCCCUCGCGCCCACCCGCGCGCCCGGCCUCGUCGCCCCCGGCCCUGCGGCCCCCAGACGGCGGACCCCGCCCCCAAAGGGGGACCAGAUCGUGGUGUGUCCAACUCACCCCAAAGAAGUCAAGAUUAUGUUUACACACUAAAACUAGGGGUUCUAGUUCGUCCUCUGCAGUUGAAUAAUCCUGGCUCUGAGACUCACAAUUGUACUUGUAGAAAGGAAACUUUGUAUAAACUAGGAAUUCACUGUGUUCACAAUUUUUCUCAACAGUAUUUUUAUAGUGAUUAGAGGAUGUAUUUAUUUCCGUCCUUUGCUGUAACUACACUACACACAUUUUAAAAGUGGUGUUCUCUUUGAAGUGGUGUUCUCUUUUAAAUGGGAUAUGGAACAAUGGUCUCAUAUUCUCCAUCGACCUACAUUGGCACUAUGAAGAAGGAAGCAAGCCAGAAAUAGAACCAUAAUUUCAAAGAAAACAUUCUAAGAUACCAAAUUCAGUUCAUAAGUAAGGCAUAUUAAUACCUCCCUGAGUACAUUGAUAAUCUGGGGUCUGUCUGGGUGGCAUGUAAGUCCCACAUGGUAAGGGCCAUCUCAUUCCAUCCAUCCUGAACAGUAGUUUCUUUUAACAAUUCUUAAGAGUGUCACUUUGCAAUUAAAGAUAAGGCUCUUGUCAAAUACCCAUGUCCCUAGAAAAGGUAGCAUUGUGACUUAAAUUCACACUUUGAUAGAAUAAUAUCAGAUUUCCUCUAGAGAGUACAUUUUGAUGUAGAGCAGACAAUAAGUUAUCUCUAUCCCAAAUGAGAAUUAUAAAUUGCGGGAAUUUAACUCAUACCAACGGAGCGAGGACUGGAGAAGUUUCUGAGUAAAAAUGAAAGUACACAUUUUUAAAGAUGCCAUCAGAAUAUAUCAUAGUUGCUUUAAAAUGCAGGUGUUUCAGCAUUUGAGAAAAUGAAUUCUAUUAAUGCAAAAAUGAAGGAACUUUGAGCUGGGUCAAGUGUAGAUAGCUGAUGCACAAAAAACAACUCUAAAAGGCACUGAGGAGAACAUUCUUCUAAAACACCCUAAAAUUUAUGAACACAAAAAGUUCAAUGAGGUUAUUGAACUCUCCAAUAAAGUUAGCACCAGAGAAGAAAAAGAUGAUUCAACUUUCUGAAGACACAACUUACAAAUAGAAAGGAUAAUAAUAAGGAGAACACAUUGUCUACUGAGCAUUAAUUUAGAUAAAGAUAAUAAAUACACUCUGGGGAUAAGAAGGAAAACCAAAAAUGAUCAUUUGACUUUGGAAUUAAUAAGUGAAAUUAGGGCAUAUUAAUCUAAAGACCUAUAAUACCAACAGUCAGAUUCUGCUAGAGAUAUCCAUAGUCUAAAACGGAUGACAGGUUACAUCUCAAGGGAAAGACUUGGUAGUUAAACCAGUGCCAAUAGGAGUGUGAUCCUGUUUUUUUUUCUUUGGUUUUUUAGUCCUGUGAAAAGCUCAUGGGAUUACAUGUCCAGUUUUUGUGAGAAGCCUCAACACUUUGUAAACCAAAAUUCUUUCACAGUGCAGCCGAGUCUAAUCACAUGUUUAAACAAUCCUAUAUAGACCAAAGAAAAUAGAAGAACACACUACCAACAGAAAGUGAAGGAAAGAAUCCUGGGAUUCAACCUUCCCCCUUUUUAUGGCCAGAUGGUGACAACUUAAGGAAUUAAAAGCCACGCAGGGAUAGAAAUGGGGAGCCGUUUCCUGCCUGAUAAGUCUGAAAGACGGCUGUGGUUUGGAAGAGGGAAAUUAAUCAAAGAAAGGUCAUUUACAGGUAGUAAAGUCAAAUGUCACCUCCCCCAAUUCUCAUGACUUGUGGUUUAGAGAAAGGUUAGCUUAAUAUAGAGGUUAGUGUGGCAUUCUGAACUGUCUCAAGACAUGAUAGAUGAAGAUGAGAAUAACACUAUCAGUAUCCCACCCCCUAACAGCUAUGUUCAGGCUUCAAAAAGGUAUUUAAAACUUGACGUCAUGGUGAGGUACUAGACACCUGGGAAAGUCCCACUUAAUAGACUAAGGGUAUCAUCAAAAGUCCUCUAAACUGUAUUCCACAAACUGCCUCAUUGAAAGACUAUGUUUUUGAAAUAAUUUCAUUUUUGAGAAAUCCUUAUGCAGAAUCUACAGCACUUUAGAUUGAUGAUAUAACUGAUUUCCAUGGGACUACCUAUAUGCCAUCAUUACCAUUAUAGGCAUUUACUUUAUGCCAAGCAUCAUGAUAAGCAUGUUACAUUAUCUCAUUUAACUGCCAUAGUCAUUUUUAAGAUAAUAUUAACCCUAAUUUUUACAUGAAAAAAAUUGAGGUGUGAAUACAUUAUUAAUCUUUUCAGGAUAGCAUAAUGUCAGAGUUGGACUCAAAGACAUGUCUUAAGUUCUAAAAAGCCCAUAGUAAUACCCACCAUGAUGUAUUUAGCAAUCAUACAGAACUGUUGGCUGAAGUUAACUCCAGCCCUUUGGGUAACUACUGUCCAAUAUUGAACCACUUGGAAGAAAACCCAAGUGUCCACAAUGUUCUUAGAAGUUUAUUCAAAUGUGGUAUCAACAUAGAACUCCACCAAAUCCAGGGCCUAUCUGUGAAACAUGACCUAUUUGACUUCUAAUACUUUAACAUCAGGUAUUCAUCUUCCUUGAGCUCUUCUGAACAAGUGAAUGACCUGAGAGAACCACUGAGAGUGAAUUAAAGGAUAACCACCCCAUAAGAAAUUGAGUGUCAAUUAAUGGUGACAAAGAGAUAGAGACAAGAUCUUAACUUAAAUUCUGGAUCACCAAGCAUAUUUGCACUUUUGUUUCAAAAGAGAUUGCUUCUGAUUCGUUGCUCCCAAAAACAAGCAUCACACUCCUUCCUUUUGUAGACUUACCUCACCUAUGUGUGCAAAGAAUGAACGACUGAGUUUGUGUAGUGAACGUUGUGAUUUUAAAUGGUUAUGGUGUUCUUAAAUGACAUUUUGAAUUCAAGAAACAUUUUUUUCUAGUGGAGAGCAACUCUCAGUUUAUAGUAAAGGUCAAUUUGAACAUUUUGCUAGGAUCCAUUAAACAAAGCCUGUGAGAUUAGGAUUUUUCUCUGUUUUAAUUUACAAAUCGAAUACUGGAAUAGAGACAUAAAUCGACACUGUUUUAAUUAGGUUUUCCUAUCCCAGUCUGCAUAGGUAAUAAGAGUUAUAUAUUUGUUUUCUCAUAGCAGGGUUUUUUUCCCCAAAAACAACAAGAAGUAAUACUUUGAUUUCAUAACAAGAGAUACUAUUUAUGAGGGAAGCUGAUUGGUGGCUUUGGGGGAAAUUUGUU